Molecule: long non-coding RNA, 1035 nt
Filed under: Homo sapiens (human)
Lineage: Eukaryota; Metazoa; Chordata; Mammalia; Primates; Hominidae
Description: HSALNT0013256
Source: RNAcentral
UGACACGGCAUUCCCUGUUACCCACUCUUUGCUGUAGCUGUGCCUUCACUUGUCUCUGAGCACAGAGUGGGGGGCCAGCCCCAGCCCUGCCCUUGGGGUGCUUACAGUGGGCCCCAGGUAGCUGCAGGCCUCAGAGAUCUCAGCUGUCAGAAUCUCAGAACACAGGAGCUGAAAGGGCCCAAGAGCAAGUCUGUCCCCUGCUUUUUAUUGGAGAGGUGAUGGAGUAAGCGAUAGGGCCAUCACUGGGACCCAGGGCUCCUGCCCCUGACAGCAGUGUCAUCUGGUAGGAGCGUUAAGCUGCCCCACAGUCUGGCAGUUACAUCAGCCCCCACCAAAGGACCUAGAUCACCUCCUGGAGAAGCCUGAGGGAGAUGGGUUCUUGAUGAAGGUAGACUUAAUUCUCACUAGGCUUGAUUCUGACUGGUUUCCAAAGCAAAUGGCUUUCCUUGCCCAAGCCAAAAGCAGGAGACAGGAAACACCCAAGGAUGUUUAUUGCUGUCCUGCUUAACCACACUGUGGGACUCCCGAAUGAUCAGUUACCUUGUGAAAUGCUUCUUUCUCUAGAUGGACAAAAAUGUCCCUUGGAUACUAAAACGGCCAUCUUCCCUGGCUUUUUGAGAUCAUGCUCUCAGAAAUUAGAAGACUUGGGUUCUGCUUCCAGACUUUCUCUGACACUGCUGGGGCAGGAAAAUGGGAGAGAGACACUAUUUUAUUACAGCGAGGUGGAGAUGGAAGACCAGGCUCUUCACUUGGCCUCCACUGACACCUGAGAUUGGGGCUCCUUAUCACUGCUGGGCCGGGAUGGGAGUUCUAAGUCUCCACUGUGCCUCCACUGACAACCUCCUGGCUCGGUGAGUAUGCUCAAGGACCAUGAUCAGCUGACUCCUGGAGGUUUUCAUUUAUCAGAUUGAUGUACAACUCUGACAGGUAACCAGGAGGAAUGAAGUCCAGCAUGAAUUUGGCCCCCAUCAGAUGUGUAGAAGAGCCAGGGGAUGAGGGUCUAGAGAGGGAACAACUGAUGAAUAAAAAAGCUCC